CCCUGAUACAUUGGAAGCCAUACUCUUAAACGGUUGCCGUUAAUUAUUGCAACCUGUGGUAAAUCAUAACAACUAGAAGAUCGCAUGGAGAGUGUGCAUCCAUUCAACCAUAUGGGCAAUUGUUAAUUAUCUGGAUCAGACUCAAAGCUAUAUAUGCUAUGAUUUGUAAAUGGUAAUUUUAGACCUGCCUGGCUCCCUGAAUGCCAUCUAUGAAGAAUUGCCAAAGUAGGGGUUGGCUGCCUUCCUACUUGGCAUAAAGGGAGCCAUGCAGGUCCUAGUAUAAUUUUUAUCCUUUUACUCCUUAUCCUAUCAUUUCAUUGUCUAUUAAUUACUCUUGAAGCAGAGUACGACAACCUUCUCAACAACGGUACUGUUAUUGCUCCAACAAUGGAAGUGCGGUGAAGAUAUCAUGUCAGGUUGGUUUGAGUAUUCCCUUUAGGGCCAACGGCGGAUCGUCCGGAUUAGAAUUGAUAUUGGAGAAAUCAGGGCAAGAGAUUGAAGGAAUUAUGUUGCUCCUCUUUAGUUCCAUGAGAAUGGUGUAUGCUUCUUGGUUGGGUAAUUUUCAACUGUUUAUUGCACUUGUAUGUAUCUUUUUUGUUGUUGUUUUUAUUUUAUUUUUUAUUUUUGUGAAAGUGUGAAUCCAGCACACUGCCAUAGAAUUAUAGUCACUCUUAGAUAAAUGUUGUCUUGCUACUUUCUCAAUUUGUGUCAGUCAAUCAAUUUCGAACUUUAUGUC
This is a non-coding RNA of Punica granatum (pomegranate), 736 nucleotides long. The record is from RefSeq and is a predicted model, not a curated record. NCBI's taxonomy places the organism in Eukaryota, Viridiplantae, Streptophyta, Magnoliopsida, Myrtales, Lythraceae.